UACGAAGGGGGCUAGCGUUGCUCGGAAUGACUGGGCGUAAAGGGCGCGUAGGCGGAUGGCACAGUCAGAUGUGAAAUUCCCGGGCUUAACCUGGGGGCUGCAUUUGAUACGUGUUGUCUAGAGUGAGGAAGAGGGUCGUGGAAUUCCCAGUGUAGAGGUGAAAUUCGUAGAUAUUGGGAAGAACACCAGUGGCGAAGGCGACUUACUGGACACGUAUUGACGCUGAGGUGCGAAAGCGUGGGGAGCAAACAGG
Molecule: ribosomal RNA, 253 nt
Filed under: uncultured prokaryote
Description: partial 16S ribosomal RNA
Rfam family: Bacterial small subunit ribosomal RNA
Source: RNAcentral